UUUAUUGGAGAGUUUGAUCCUGGCUCAGGAUGAACGCUGGCGGCGUGCCUAAUACAUGCAAGUCGAGCGAACGGAUUAAGAGCUUGCUCUUAAGAAGUUAGCGGCGGACGGGUGAGUAACACGUGGGUAACCUGCCCAUAAGACUGGGAUAACUCCGGGAAACCGGGGCUAAUACCGGAUAACAUUUUGCACCGCAUGGUGCAAGAUUGAAAGGCGGCUUCGGCUGUCACUUAUGGAUGGACCCGCGUCGCAUUAGCUAGUUGGUGAGGUAACGGCUCACCAAGGCGACGAUGCGUAGCCGACCUGAGAGGGUGAUCGGCCACACUGGGACUGAGACACGGCCCAGACUCCUACGGGAGGCAGCAGUAGGGAAUCUUCCGCAAUGGACGAAAGUCUGACGGAGCAACGCCGCGUGAGUGAUGAAGGCCUUCGGGUCGUAAAGCUCUGUUGUUAGGGAAGAACAAGUAUGAGUUGAAUAAGCUCAUGCCUUGACGGUACCUAACCAGAAAGCCACGGCUAACUACGUGCCAGCAGCCGCGGUAAUACGUAGGUGGCAAGCGUUAUCCGGAAUUAUUGGGCGUAAAGCGCGCGCAG
Molecule: ribosomal RNA, 594 nt
Filed under: Bacillus cytotoxicus
Lineage: Bacteria; Bacillati; Bacillota; Bacilli; Caryophanales; Bacillaceae
Description: bacterial SSU rRNA
Rfam family: Bacterial small subunit ribosomal RNA
Source: RNAcentral